AUGGCGGCUGCCCCUCGGCCCAGGACUGCCACGGACCGGGCGGUGAGCCCGGAGCCAACUCCACAACUUGCCGGCCCGGCUGCCUGGGCCCCCCGAGUUCCCGGGAAGAUUCGGACCCCGCAGGAGGGGCGGAGUAUCCCCGGAAACAAUUCCUCCCCGCCGCCGAGCCCACCCCGCCGUCCGCGUUCGCUCCCGCCUGCGGCCGCGCGGUCCCCGCCGCCCCGACGCCCCCGCGGCCCUGCCCGCCAACGCCUCCAACGCCGCCGCCGCCGGCCGCGCUACCGGGCCGUUUCCGGCGGCGCCCGCGGCCGCUCCCGGAGCCCCCGGCCGCGGCCGCCACUCACCCGAGGCCGCCGCGGCUCCGAGCCUGGGUUCCGUCAGGCUCACUCCACGAAGGCGCCCCGCCGCCCCGUCCUUCCCCGGCGCCCCGGCGAGCUCUUCCCUCAGAGCAGCAGUGCUGCCAAGCACAGUGGCGGCCGCGGGGCCACCGGCAGGCGUGCGCUGGCGGGAGGGAGGGCUUGGGGCCGGGUCGUCCCUCCGCCUCGGCCGCCGCCUCCUCCGCCUCCUCCGCCUCCUCCGCCUCCUCCGCCACCGCCGCGCCGCCGCCGCCGCCGCCGCCGCCUCCUCCCGAGUUCGGGGCUCUGCUGCAAUGUCUGCGAGGCUGACUUUGAGCGCCUCGCUCGCCGCCCGCCCGCAGCCGCGCUCCUCCCUCCGCCGCCGAGUCCGCCGCGGCCCAGUCCCUCCCCUCGCCGCUCCACGCCAUUCAGCUCUUCAGCCAAGUUUCUUAACCCUUUUUUCCCCCUCCCUCCCAUUGUCACCCGGGCAGGAGAAAGCAGCUCGGGUCCCCGCAGCUCGUGGGAGCUGAGGAGCCCCCCCCGCCCCGUUUUGUUGUUUUCCUCCUUGCCCGCCCUCCGGAUGGCCGGGCGGGGGCUGCAGGGCCCAAAGGCGGCGGGAGGACCGCGUCGCCCGGGAGAGGUGCAUCUGGAUGGCAGAAACCAGGUCACAUGAGAAACUCUAGCUUCACCUGAG
RNAcentral lists this long non-coding RNA (1029 nucleotides) under Zalophus californianus (California sea lion). Its description in RNAcentral is "lncRNA (ENSZCAG00015002461.1)". Lineage: Eukaryota; Metazoa; Chordata; Mammalia; Carnivora; Otariidae. The record is from RNAcentral.